RNAcentral lists this ribosomal RNA (253 nucleotides) under uncultured bacterium. Its description in RNAcentral is "partial 16S ribosomal RNA". It matches the Rfam family "Bacterial small subunit ribosomal RNA", at positions 524 to 776 of the family's 1533-position model. The record is from RNAcentral.
UACGUAGGGUGCAAGCGUUGUCCGGAAUUAUUGGGCGUAAAGAGCUCGUAGGCGGUUUGUCGCGUCUGCUGUGAAAACGCGAGGCUCAACCUCGCGCCUGCAGUGGGUACGGGCAGACUAGAGUGCGGUAGGGGAGAUUGGAAUUCCUGGUGUAGCGGUGGAAUGCGCAGAUAUCAGGAGGAACACCGGUGGCGAAGGCGGGUCUCUGGGCCGACACUGACGCUGAGGAGCGAAAGCGUGGGGAGCGAACAGG